Molecule: ribosomal RNA, 496 nt
Filed under: uncultured bacterium
Lineage: Bacteria
Description: partial 16S ribosomal RNA
Rfam family: Bacterial small subunit ribosomal RNA
Source: RNAcentral
AUGAACGCUGGCGGCGUGCCUCAUUCCUUCCAGUCGAGCCAACAGACCAGGAUCUUUCUCCUUUUACGUUUGCGGCGGACGGGUUAGUAACCCGUUGAUAACCUACCUUUUAUACUUGGAUUACUUUGGGAAACCGGAUCUAAUUCCGGAUUACUUUUUUAACCCCCUUUUUUCACUGUUUAAUUCCGUCUUUCUUUUACUUAUUGCUUUAUCCGCGCGGCAUUAGCUAGUUGGUAAGGUAACGGCUUACCAAGGCAACGAUGCGUAGACGACCUGAGAGGGUGAUCGGCCACACUGGAACUGAGACACGGUACAGACUCCUACGGGAGGCAGCAGUAGGGAAUCUUCCGCAAUGGGCGAAAGCCUGACGGAGCAACGCCGCGUGAGUGAAGAAGGUCUUCGGAUCGUAAAACUCUGUUAUUAGGGAAGAAAAAAUGUGUAAGUAACUAUGCACGUCUUGACGGUACCUAAUCAGAAAGCCACGGCUAACUACGUG